Molecule: ribosomal RNA, 370 nt
Filed under: uncultured organism
Description: bacterial SSU rRNA
Rfam family: Bacterial small subunit ribosomal RNA
Source: RNAcentral
CGGGGGGGCAAGCGUUGUUCGGAAUUACUGGGCGUAAAGGGCUCGUAGGCGGCCAACUAAGUCGGACGUGAAAUCCCCAGGCUCAACCUGGGAACUGCGUCCGAUACUGGAUGGCUUGAAUCCGGGAGAGGGAUGCAGAAUUCCAGGUGUAGCGGUGAAAUGCGUAGAUAUCUGGAGGAAUACCGGUGGCGAAGGCGGCAUCCUGGACCGGCAUUGACGCUGAGGAGCGAAAGCCAGGGGAGCAAACGGGAUUAGAUACCCCGGUAGUCCUGGCCCUAAACGAUGAAUGCUUGGUGUAACGGGUAUCGAUCCCUGUUGUGCCGAAGCUAACGCAUUAAGCAUUCCGCCUGGGGAUACGGUCGCAAGGCUG